GGCCACGUUGGGCGGAGAUGCGAGGCGGAAGGCGGAAGAGCCUGUGCUCGGGAGACGGCCACGUGAUCGCGCGCCCGCAGCGCCGAUUGGCCGGACGCUCCCGGGCCACGCCCCAGGGGCGGAGCCUUCGCUGUCCGGCGCCGGCGCUGUCGCGGGGAAAGAAGAGUCCUCGGGCGCCCUUGGGAGCCGCCCCGGUGGGCGUGUUGCUGUCCAGGAAGAAGAGGUUCAGACACAGAGAGGUACAGAGGGGAGACCGUGUGAGGACACAGGGAGAAGACGGCCAUCUAUAAGCCAAGGAGAGAGGCCUCAGAAGGAAACCACCCCUGCUGACACCUUGAUCUCAGCCUUCCGGCCUCCAGAACUGGGAGAAAAUGCAUUUCUGUUGGUUAAGCCCCCCAGUCUUUGCUGCUUUGCUAUGGCAGUCCCAGCAAAUGAAUUUUCCCUCCCUCCCUCUCUCUCUCUCUCUGUCUGUCUCUCUCUCACACACACAAAUGCACACACUGCUUGUGAGAAUCUGUUCCCAGCUCACAAACCUGGAGCUGAAAGACUAUACCAGGGUGCUCUUUCCACUCUUGAUGUCUAAGAAUAGCUCCCUAGACCUUUUACUUCUCUAAAAACUCAUUUUGUGGAAAGAAUAAGCUGAAAUGGUUUUUAUUUUAUUUUGUGAUCUUGGCUCAGGCAGAAGGAGGAAGCGAAUGACCUUUUAUCUGUUUGCUUAUUAUCUGUUCUUAUUUUAGCUGUGCCUAAAAGUGUUUAAAUUAUACUAAAUAUAUCUUUUGCCUUCUCUCUCUUAGAGUUUCACUCCCAAGGCUUUCUGGAGAGGGAGCAUGGUAGAAAGGAAGGAAGCUUUGUUGUCACAGAGAGGUGGGUUCAAACCUUAUGUCUUCUGCUCACUUGUGGGAUGUUGGGUGAGGCACCUAACAUCUCUGAGCCUUUGCAAUUGUGAAAUGAUGUCCCCCCCCUUUUUUUUUGGUGAGGAAGAUUGUCCCUGAGCUAACAUCCAUGCCAGUUUUCCUCUACUUUGUAUAUGGGACACCACCACAGCGUGGCCUGAUGAGCGGUGUGUAGGUCCACGCCCGGGAUCCGAACCUGUGAACCCCAGGCUGCUGACGCAGAGAAUGCAAACAUAGCCACUAAGCUACCGGGCCAGCCCCUGAUGUCCCUCUUGAAGGAUGGGCAUGAGGCUUAUGUGAGAUAAAGCUGUAAUUUGCUUCUUGGCACAUUACAGGCACCAAAUAAAUGCUACUUUCCAUUUUUUUUCUUCUUUCUCCCAACCAUAGUUAGCCAGAAAAAAACAAUUAUGGACUAAAGGAAAUUCCAGUGAAUUGAAUAUAUGUUUAGAUUUGUCUAAAUUAGAAACAUUACUCGCUGCACUCCUAAAUAAAUGUCAUCAGCAGGAGUUCAAAGAGAUGCUGCUUCCAGACUUGGGACGCACACCGCUAAGCUGUUCUGCUCACAGCUGUCGGAGCAUGGUUCUCUCUGCAAAAACAGGCAGUUUCAACAAUUCUAUACGCAUUGUAUUUAUUCAGCAAAUGGCAAGCUGGUGUCCCACCUAGUGGUCAGCGGGAGGUAGCCCAUUUCAAAAAGAGAUGGGAAGACAUUUCAUAUUAUCUUCUGUGGGGCAGAAGCCUGAAGAACUGUUAUCGGUUCAUCCUUUUCUCUCCACUUACAGAGGCCCGGGCAAGGUAAGGCCAAGGUGUGAGAUAUGGCAGUGGGUGUAGAGUACGUGCACGCAGCAUGGCAAUGGUGGGGCUGGUUCCACUUGAGAGAGAAAGAAAGAGUCAUUAGAUAAGAGGCGUACCUUUGAAUAGCUUCUUAAAAUAUGAAACAUUUCAAAUAUGCAGAAAAGUUCAUUACAAUCUUAACACAUUUACCACUCAGCUCUAUUGAGUUCUAACAUUUUGUCACACUUGCAUUCUAUUUCAGAAACAAAACAUCGCAAAUGCUGGCAAAGCUCCCCAUCUACCCUUCCACGGUCCCUUUCUCUUACCUGUCCCCAUCCAGAGGGAACCACCAUCUCCAGUUUGAUGUUUACCUUUAAGGGCAUUUAAAAAUUCUGUGAACAUUCCAUGCGUGAAUCCAUGUUUUCAAAGUUUUUUAUUGAUGUCAUAUUGUAUGUAUUUUUUCUAUCAUAAACAAAUAAUGCAGUAACUCUCUUGUACCAUUUUCCCUGUGGAAUAUCUGCAAGAGCUUUUCUAUUGUUUUCCUAGAAGCAGAACUGCUGGAUCGAAGAGCAAGUAUUUUCUUUCCAGUGAUUGUACCAAAUUUCCCUUCAAAUACUCGUGUGUAAUUUUGGACGAUGACGAAUAAGGCUGCUGUGAACAUUCUGGAACAUGUCUUUUGGUGCACACGGAGAGGAAAUGCUAGGCCCUCGGGCAAGCACAUGUUCAUCUUUAGUCAUGUACUUAGUACUUUCGUACGGUUUAGUCCUUCUUGUGCUGAUGCUGUGGGUGCCCACAGAUCCUCCCUCCACGACCAAACACUGGUUCCCCACCUGUCAGGACGUUGGCUGCUGAUGGCUCUCAGCUGAGACCCCUCCCCAGGCACUGCACUCAGCUGAAGGGAGCUGCCUGGCCAGACAAUGUACCCCUAGCCUGGUGGCAGCCCAGGUGCAAUGACUGAUGGAUGUGAGGAUAGAAAAGUCCAGCCCCCAUGUUAAUUGUGGACAUCUGUGAAGGGCCAUCCCAGCUUCAGAGCUCCCCAAGGGAUCUCCUGGGGUCUCCAUUACAAUGUUGAAUAGAAACAGUGAGGGUGAACCCCUGUGCCUUGUUACCAAUGUGAAGGGGAAAGCAACCUUGAAUUCUUGGAAUAAACUCCUGGAACAAAUUGGUCAUGUGUUAUUAUUUUUAUGUUUUCCCGGUUUCUAUCUGGUGUUAUUUUGUGAAAGAUUUUUGGAUCCAACUUUAUGAGGGAUAUCGGGGGAUCCUUUU
This 2930-nucleotide long non-coding RNA is filed under the name Equus asinus (donkey). RNAcentral's name for it is "lncRNA (ENSEASG00005033824.1)". Lineage: Eukaryota; Metazoa; Chordata; Mammalia; Perissodactyla; Equidae. The record is from RNAcentral.